Molecule: ribosomal RNA, 468 nt
Filed under: uncultured bacterium
Lineage: Bacteria
Description: partial 16S ribosomal RNA
Rfam family: Bacterial small subunit ribosomal RNA
Source: RNAcentral
GACGAACGCUGGCGGCGUGCUUAAUACAUGCAAGUCGAACGGAAAGGCCCUGUUUUUGUGGGGUGCUCGAGUGGCGAACGGGUGUGUAAAACGUGUGUCACCUGCCCUUGAUUUUGGGAUAAAUCUAGGAAACUGGGGUUAAUACAGGAUAGGAGCUCUUGCUGCACGGUGGGGGUUGGAAAGUUUAGGCGGUUGGGGAUGGACGCGCGGCAUAUCGGCUUGUUGGUGUGGUUGUUGCUUAACAGGGCUUUGGCGGGUAGCCGGCCUGAGCGGGUGACCGGCCACAUAGGGUCUGAGGUGGCGCCCAGAAUCGUACGGGAGGCAGCAGGGGGGAAUAUUGCACGGAGGGCGGCAGCCGGAGGCAGCAACGCCGCGAGCGGGAUGACGGCCUGCGGGUUGUAAGCCGCUUUGGCCUGUGACGAAGCGUGAGUGACGGUAAUGGGUUAAGAAGCGCCGGCUAACUACGUG